GAUGAACGCUGGCGGCGUGCCUAAUACAUGCAAGUCGAGCGAACGGACGAGAAGCUUGCUUCUCUGAUGUUAGCGGCGGACGGGUGAGUAACACGUGGAUAACCUACCUAUAAGACUGGGAUAACUUCGGGAAACCGUAGCUAAUACCGGAUAAUAUUUUGAACCGCAUGGUUCAAAAGUGAAAGACGGUCUUGCUGUCACUUAUAGAUGGAUCCGCGCUGCAUUAGCUAGUUGGUAAGGUAACGGCUUACCAAGGCAACGAUGCAUAGCCGACCUGAGAGGGUGAUCGGCCACACUGGAACUGAGACACGGUCCAGACUCCUACGGGAGGCAGCAGUAGGGAAUCUUCCGCAAAGGGCGAAAGCCUGACGGAGCAACGCCGCGUGAGUGAUGAAGGUCUUCGGAUCGUAAAACUCUGUUAUUAGGGAAGAACAUAUGUGUAAGUAACUGUGCACAUCUCGACGGUACCUAAUCAGAAAGCCACGGCUAACUACGUG
Molecule: ribosomal RNA, 497 nt
Filed under: uncultured bacterium
Lineage: Bacteria
Description: partial 16S ribosomal RNA
Rfam family: Bacterial small subunit ribosomal RNA
Source: RNAcentral